Molecule: ribosomal RNA, 429 nt
Filed under: Actinomycetes bacterium
Lineage: Bacteria; Bacillati; Actinomycetota; Actinomycetes
Description: Actinobacteria bacterium partial 16S ribosomal RNA
Rfam family: Bacterial small subunit ribosomal RNA
Source: RNAcentral
UAGGGAAUCUUCCGCAAUGGGCGAAAGCCUGACGGAGCAACGCCGCGUGAGUGAUGAAGGUCUUCGGAUCGUAAAACUCUGUUAUUAGGGAAGAACAAAUGUGUAAGUAACUAUGCACGUCUUGACGGUACCUAAUCAGAAAGCCACGGCUAACUACGUGCCAGCAGCCGCGGUAAUACGUAGGUGGCAAGCGUUAUCCGGAAUUAUUGGGCGUAAAGCGCGCGUAGGCGGUUUUUUAAGUCAGAUGUGAAAGCCCACGGCUCAACCGUGGAGGGUCAUUGGAAACUGGAAAAAUUGAGUGCAGAAGAGGAAAGUGGAAUUCCAUGUGUAGCGGUGAAAUGCGCAGAGAUAUGGAGGAACACCAGUGGCGAAGGCGACUUUCUGGUCUGUAACUGACGCUGAUGUGCGAAAGCGUGGGGAUCAAACAGG